This 72-nucleotide transfer RNA is filed under the name Marmota monax (woodchuck). RNAcentral's name for it is "tRNA.Ala". Lineage: Eukaryota; Metazoa; Chordata; Mammalia; Rodentia; Sciuridae. The record is from RNAcentral.
AUGGGUUGGGCUCAGUGGUAAAGCACUCACUUAGCAUGUAUGAGGCACUGGGUUCGAUUCUCAGCACACAUA